RNAcentral lists this transfer RNA (75 nucleotides) under Promethearchaeota archaeon. RNAcentral's name for it is "Candidatus Lokiarchaeota archaeon tRNA-Gly". The stretch from base 14 to 67 matches the Rfam family "tRNA", at positions 10 to 63 of the family's 71-position model. From Rfam's summary of the family: Transfer RNA (tRNA) molecules are approximately 80 nucleotides in length. Their secondary structure includes four short double-helical elements and three loops (D, anti-codon, and T loops). Lineage: Archaea; Promethearchaeati; Promethearchaeota. The record is from RNAcentral.
GCUUACUUAAAAUGUAAAAUGGCAGUAUGCAAGGUUGCCAUCCUUGCGACCCGGGUUCGAAUCCCGGCGGGCGCA